GAUGAAGAACGCAGCGAAAUGCGAUAAUUAAUGUGAAUUGCAGAAUUCAGUGAAUCAUCGAAUCUUUGAACGCACAUUGCGCCCCUUGGUAUUCCGAGGGGCAUGCCUGUUCGAGCGUCAUUUUGACCACUCCCGCUUGCGGGGUCUUGGGCCUUCGCCUCUGGGCGGGCCUUAAAAUCAGUGGCGGUGCCGUCCGGCUCUAAGCGUAGUAAAUCUCCUCGCUAUAGGGUUCCGGAGGGAUGCUGGCCAACAACCCCCAACUUUUAAGGUUGACCUCGGAUCAGGUAGGGAUACCCGCUGAACUUAAGCAUAUCAAUAAGCGGAGGA
This 327-nucleotide unclassified non-coding RNA is filed under the name soil metagenome. RNAcentral's name for it is "partial contains 5.8S ribosomal RNA, internal transcribed spacer 2, and large subunit ribosomal RNA". The stretch from base 1 to 120 matches the Rfam family "5.8S ribosomal RNA", at positions 35 to 154 of the family's 154-position model. The record is from RNAcentral.